AUGGAAACUACUCCACCGAGCCUUCAUAUCUCCAUUCCCUCUCGGUUCCCACCCAUGGAUAACAACGCAAUAGUCUCUCUCAAACUGAUGCAAACAACUUUGGGCAUGGGUCUGGCGUCGUCAAAGGGAUUACGGCCUCAAAUUUAUUUUCAUCAUCUAGAUCAGGUUUGUUUCUCACAUUGUUUUCUCACGUACAAUUUCUUGAUAGGGCAUGGAUCUGGCUUGAUCAAGGGGCUUACUGCCUCAAAUUUGCUUUCAUCAUCUAGAUCAGGUGUCAUUGGCAUCACAACUUACAUUGGACAUACUGAAGAAAUGCAAACAACUCAUGGGGUUUGA
Molecule: ribosomal RNA, 336 nt
Filed under: Triticum aestivum (bread wheat)
Lineage: Eukaryota; Viridiplantae; Streptophyta; Magnoliopsida; Poales; Poaceae
Description: partial small subunit ribosomal RNA
Source: RNAcentral